Molecule: long non-coding RNA, 1773 nt
Organism: Lotus japonicus
Lineage: Eukaryota; Viridiplantae; Streptophyta; Magnoliopsida; Fabales; Fabaceae
Exons: 3
Source: RefSeq, a predicted model, not a curated record
UCAUUCUCACCAUUUCCAUAUCCCAAUCUUUCUCCUUGAAACCCCCUCUUAAAAAGGCACAAAUUUUUAGACUUCUUUCUUCUUUGGUUGGAACCUCCUGACACCGUUGUUUUUAAUUUCAUCUGGCUUGCAUAAGCAAGGUAAUCCUGAAUCUUAAAUAUUUCCAUGAAUAUCCCCCAGGUAAGGUCUCAAUCUUAACGGAAAGGCUAUCAUGUUAGUUGAGGAAUUUGUUAAUAUCAAGGAAAAACUAAUGUGGGAAGGGAGCAUAAUUGCAAUGCUAAGUAUGGACCUGAAACUGUAAUGAUACAUACAUGAUUUCUUGGUAACCUGAAAUGGCUAUGGGCUAUGUGCUUGGAAAACCAAUCAUGAGGCAUGAAGGUCAUGCUGAUUUGAAACAGAGCAUAAAGGACUUAAUUUUCCUAUUUGCAUGAGGGGGGAUUUGAAUAAAGGGUCCCAUUUGUGUGUUUUGUAAUGUGUUGAUAAAUCUUUCUCUAUUGAUUACAUUCCCUUUCAGCUAUAUUUAAAAGACUUGGUAGUAUCAUUUUCAUUUUUAUCUUAUUUCAGGAAGAAGUGACUUUGAGUUUGCUAGAGACAAGCAGCAGUGGGCAGUGGCUAUUGUCAUCAAAGAAAAGCAAAGGGAUGCUUCUAGUGUUGUAUAUCAUAUUGGCUUGGGAUGUGCUGAUUUUGCUGUCCAUUUAAAUAGACUAGAACUUUCAAUCAAUUUGCAUGGUUUAUACUUUGUUGUAGUGUACAAAACCUUACUAACAGGCCAUGCUAUUUAUCUUCUUCCUGUAGAUUUUAUUUGAGAAUACUGCACCAGUAUGUAUUUGAUAACAAUUUUUAGCGACAGAUUCUUAAGAAAGAGAUAAGCAAAGCACACAUAAAAUUAGUGGAGCCUUUGAUUAAGGGACCUACUAGAUGUCUUCGAUAUACACAAUAAGAGACAGAGAGUUCUCUGGUGUGGAUGUCAAAGAGGAUCUGGCUUCUCUCCUUUCUCCCCUCUCACCUGGCUUCACACAGCAUCCCAUCACAACUCGAUUUUACGAAAAGACUGAGGCGCAAGCAGUGGUGCUUACAUUGACUUGACUUAUGGUCUUCAAAGAGGCGCAAGAUCUUAUGGAUUUUAAUUCUGCAGGAAUGAUUGAUUGGUUUCAGGAAUCGGCUUUGAGUUGAGAUGUGUUGCAUGGAAGCUCCUCAAAAUCUCCCAAGGUGCAAGCAAAGGAGAUUCUAAUUUGCAUGUCUGCUACCAUUUGACGUAGAUCAUAAGUUUCUUCCUUAAGGCAUGCCUUCUAUUGAGGGCUCUGUCAUAGGACUCAGACACAUGGUUGAGUUUAAGAACAAGGUUGUGGUUCUCAAUACUAAGUCUGACAACCUUUGACCACAGUCCGUUCAAGUGCUUUUGCUUCUUCAUCCUUGAUCUGUGGGCAAACUGUGUUAGACAUCAUUCACCUGUGCUUCCUUUUGUCGAUUAUCUGAACUGAAGUUCAUUUGCUUCAGCAUAAGUUCAAUUGUUGUCGAGGAAUGAAGAAUGAGCAAAUUCAGAUGGGAAAGUGGAAGUUUGGCUCGAGGCUUAAGAGGCUAUUUAGAUAAAGGUUUUAUGAGUAUGUACUGAUUAUCUAUUUGUUUGUAUUUGAAAAAGCCAAUACAUUGAAUUAAUGCUUCAAACCCAUUUAGCGGAUUUGGUGGAAUAUUUUUUUACAUUGAUAAGGUUAUUGGUUUAAAUUCUAUGUAAAUCAUGUAAGGAAAGUUAAUGUUUUAUUUUCUGUGUUUCAA